This 470-nucleotide ribosomal RNA is filed under the name Flexibacter maritimus-like bacterium S3C20. Its description in RNAcentral is "bacterial SSU rRNA". It matches the Rfam family "Bacterial small subunit ribosomal RNA", at positions 498 to 982 of the family's 1533-position model. The record is from RNAcentral. Lineage: Bacteria; Pseudomonadati; Bacteroidota.
UAAUUCGNGCCAACACCCGCGUAAUACGGGAGGUGCAAGCUUUANCCGGAANCAUGGGUUUAAGGGUCCGCAGCCGUCAAUUAAGUCAGAGUGGAUUCCCAUAGCUUAACUAUGGACUGCCUUUGAUACUGGUGACUUGAGUUAUACGGAAGUAGAUAGAAUGUGUAGUGUAGCGGUGAAAUGCAUAGAGAUUACACAGAAUACCGAUUGCGAAGGCAGUCUACUACGUAUAUACUGACGCUCAUGGACGAAAGCGUGGGNNGCNACANGGNUNGAUCCCUGGUAGUCCACGCCGUAAACGAUGGGCACUAGUUGUUGGGAUUUAUCUCAGUGACUAAGCGAAAGUGAUAAGUGUCCCACCUGGGGAGUACGGUCGCAAGAUUGAAACUCAAAGGAAUUGACGGGGGCCCGCACAAGCGGUGGAGCAUGUGGUUUAAUUCGAUGAUACGCGAGGAACCUUACCAGGGCUU